RNAcentral lists this Y RNA (107 nucleotides) under Aotus nancymaae (Ma's night monkey). RNAcentral describes it as "Y RNA (ENSANAG00000006301.1)". It matches the Rfam family "Y RNA". From Rfam's summary of the family: Y RNAs are components of the Ro ribonucleoprotein particle (Ro RNP), in association with Ro60 and La proteins. The Y RNAs and Ro60 and La proteins are well conserved, but the function of the Ro RNP is not known. The record is from RNAcentral. Lineage: Eukaryota; Metazoa; Chordata; Mammalia; Primates; Aotidae.
AGCUGGUCCAAAGGUGGUGCAUUAUCUUGAUUGAAGAUUCACAGAGCGGGUCAAACUCCUUGUUCCACUCUUCCCCUCUUCUCAUGACUACACUUGACAAGUCUUAA